AUACGUAGGCAGCAAGCGUUGUUCGGAAUUACUGGGCGUAAAGCGAGUGUAGGCGGCUUGCCAAGUCUGUUGUGAAAUCUCCCGGCUCAACCGGGAGGGUGCGGCGGAAACUGGCAGGCUAGAGUACGGAAGAGGAGAGUGGAAUUCCUGGUGUAGCGGUGAAAUGCGUAGAUAUCAGGAGGAACACCGGUGGUGAAGACGGCUCUCUGGACCGACACUGACGCUGAGACUCGAAAGCGUGGGGAGCAAACAGGAUUAGAAACCCCGGUAGUCC
RNAcentral lists this ribosomal RNA (274 nucleotides) under uncultured bacterium. RNAcentral describes it as "partial 16S ribosomal RNA". It matches the Rfam family "Bacterial small subunit ribosomal RNA", at positions 523 to 796 of the family's 1533-position model. The record is from RNAcentral.